UCGCCUGUUUAUCAAAAACAUCGCCUCUUGCAAAACUCAAAAAUAAGAGGUCCCGCCUGCCCUGUGACUAUUUGUUUAACGGCCGCGGUAUUUUGACCGUGCGAAGGUAGCGCAAUCACUUGUCUUUUAAAUGGAGACCCGUAUGAAUGGCAUAACGAGGGCUUAACUGUCUCCUCUUUCAAGUUAAUGAAAUUGAUCUCCCCGUGCAGAASCGGGSAUAAAAACMUAMGACGAGAARACCCUAUGGAGCUUUAGACACUAAGACAGCCCACGUUAAGCACCCUGAAUAAAGGACUAAACCAAGUGGGCCCUGCCCUAAUGUCUUUGGUUGGGGCGACCGCGGGGAAUUAAAGAACCCCCACGUGGAGUGGGAAUACUUUUCCUACAACUAAGAGCUACAGCUCUCAUAAACAGAAUUUCUGACCAACAAGAUCCGGCAGUGCCGAUCAACGGACCGAGUUACCCUAGGGAUAACAGCGCAAUCCUCUUUUAGAGCCCAUAUCGACAAGGGGGUUUACGACCUCGAUGUUGGAUCAGGACAUCCUAAUGGUGCAGCCGCUAUUAAGGGUUCGUUUGUUCAACGAUUAAAGUCCUACGUGAUCUGAGUUCAGAC
RNAcentral lists this ribosomal RNA (613 nucleotides) under Gymnocanthus pistilliger (threaded sculpin). RNAcentral's name for it is "partial small subunit ribosomal RNA". It matches the Rfam family "Bacterial large subunit ribosomal RNA", at positions 1796 to 2616 of the family's 2925-position model. Lineage: Eukaryota; Metazoa; Chordata; Actinopteri; Perciformes; Cottidae. The record is from RNAcentral.